UGAGUCGGCCGGGUGACCGCGGCUUCCGCUCUGCUCCGGCGGGUCGGUGGUCGAGGAAGGUCGGGGCUCCACAGGGCGACGGUGCUGGCGAGAGCCAGGUGGGGGCGACCUCACGGAUCGGGCCACAGAGAAACAGUCCGCCGAUGGCUGGAGCGAUCCAGCACAGGCAAGGGUGAAACGGUGCGGUAAGAGCGCACCAGCGGCCGGAGCGAUCCGGUCGGCUCGGCAACCCCCACCCGGAGCAAGGUCGAACAGAGGGCAGGCUGCCCGCCGCUCCUCCCCCGGGAGGAACCCUCAGGUGGACCGCACAGAUGGAUGGUCACCGAACCGGACCCCCGAAAGGGACCGGGGAACAGAACCCCGCCUACAGGCCGACUCAUCGU
RNAcentral lists this RNase P RNA (383 nucleotides) under Aquihabitans sp. G128. RNAcentral describes it as "Bacterial RNase P class A". It matches the Rfam family "Bacterial RNase P class A". From Rfam's summary of the family: Ribonuclease P (RNase P) is a ubiquitous endoribonuclease, found in archaea, bacteria and eukarya as well as chloroplasts and mitochondria. Its best characterised activity is the generation of mature 5'-ends of tRNAs by cleaving the 5'-leader elements of precursor-tRNAs. Cellular RNase Ps are ribonucleoproteins. Lineage: Bacteria; Bacillati; Actinomycetota; Acidimicrobiia; Acidimicrobiales; Iamiaceae. The record is from Rfam by way of RNAcentral.